AUGCGUCGUGGCCUGCGGCGCCGCCGCCGCCAAGGACCACCUCUUCAAGGGUCGCAGGAGCAGCCGGGCCUGGUCACCAUCGCCAUGGAGGAGAUCCUCGGCUUCGCGGCGUCCGUCGGCGGCGCCGUCAGGGUGUCGUCGUACCAGGUGGUGCAGGACACCCACGUCUUUGAUCUGCUGGAGCCCAAGGAGCAGGAGGUCCUGGUGCUGGAGGAUGCCCAGGGCAAGACCCACCUCAAGGGCCUCUCCAAGGUGCAUGUCAAGUCGAUCGAGGAUUUCUCGCGGCUGGGUUGUUUCGAUGAGAGCCAGGAGAAGCAGCAGCCCACCAAAGCUUCUUCUUCUGCCCAGCAGCAGCCCACUAAACCCUUUUCCACCCAGCCGCAACCCGCUAAAGCUUCUUCUGCCCAGCUACAGACCAGAGGGCACCAAGGCCUCAUCAUCCACAUAUCUACCUCCGACCAGGACGGCAAAGAGCGUGCUGUGGCCAAGAUCAACUUCCUCAGCCUCUCAGACUAUGUGGACCCCAAGCAGAAGGCCGGCGGUGGAGCGGCCGCUCUGUCGAGCAGCAACAACAAGUCCUUGUACACCUUGAUGAAUGUCGUGCAAGCGCUCAACAGCAACCAGAGCUUCGUGCCGUACAGGCAGAGCAAAGUUACCCGUAUUCUGCAGGACUCUUUGUGCAAGACGAGCGGGGCCGUGGUGAUCGCCUGCUUGGAAGAAGUUUCCUGCCAAGAUGCGGUUUCUACUCUCAGCUUGGCCGCUCGCUCGAGUCAAGUGGCCACUCAAGCGGCUAACGAACAAUGCCGCAGAUCCGUGAGCGUUACAAGUUUCAAAAGGGCAGAUGUUAACUUGUCAGCAGUUGCUAAAAGCUCCUCAAGGCCAAUUCUUUCUUCUACACACCAACCGAAUCCCGUGGUAGAGAAGCAGCAGGAUCGGCCCCAAUGGAAUAUGAGCGCAGUAAAAGCAUCUCGAACUCCCAUUGCCAACAAGAGGUCUCAACCAACCAUGCAUCCAGCGAAGAAAUCUGAAAACUCGCUCCCUACUCCUAUCAAAAUUACCCAAAAGGCUGCUACACCCACAAUGAGUGGAAGGUCUCAACCAACCAUGCAUUCAGCAAAAAACCCUGAAAGCUCGCUGUCUACUCCUAUCAAAAUGCCUUCAAAGGAUGCUAAGCCCACAAUGAGUGGAAGGUCUCAACCUGAAAUCACGGUCUCUCCUCCAACCAAAAUGAAGCAAAAGGAUGCCAAACCCGCAAUGAGUGGAAGGUCUCAAGUAAUGAUGCGCCCAGCAAAGAAAACUGAAAGCUUGCUUUCUGCUUCUAUCAAACCGAAGCAAAAGGAUGCUAAACCUACUGCAACGAGUGGAAGUGCCGUGUUAUGCCCAAGCACCAAUUCAGCAAAGGAAGAGGCAGCAGUCAUUGCACCAGCAACAGUAGCAGAAGUCGUGGAGGUACAAUCGUCACAAUGCAUGGAAAUCGAUGCUCCAUCUACAGAUGAGGGAUUUGAUAAAACAAGCAAUGCUUUAGAUACUGUGCCAUCUGAAGUACCGAAGGUGGUCUCAGGUGGUGUGGCAAUCGACGCCCCAUCUACAGAUGAGGGACUUGAUAAAACAAGCGAUGCUCUGGAUACCGCAUCAUCUCAAGUACAGAAGGUGGUCUCAAGUGGUAUGGAGGAAGAGGACUAUUCGUCGUCAGGUCUGGAUGCGGCGAGUUCGUGUACCAUUGACCUGGGCGAAACCUGCUCUCCAAACAUUCCUGAUGCCUUUGUCGAGAAGACUCCAGUCAAAACUAAUUUGAGCACCCCAAAGAUCAGCGACAAGCUGAGAGAGAUAUCAAACUCACUGAAGCUUCUUAAUGCUCGUCCAUUGAGCGUAAUGGCACAAAAGGUGGCCAUGGAAAAGACUCAAGAAGAGGGCAUGGAGAAGACACAAAAAGUGGCCAUGGAAAAGACAGAAGAAGUGGCCAUGGAAACAACACAAGAAGCGGCCAUGGAAACGACACAAGAAGAGGGCAUGGAGACGACACAAGGAGUGGCCAUGGAGACAACACAAGAAGAGGGCAUGGAGACGACACAAGAAGUUGCCACUGGAACGACACAGGAAGAGGAGGGCAUGGAGACGACACAAGAAGUUGCCACUGGAAAGACACAGGAAGAGGAGGGCAUGGAGACGACAGAAGAAGUUGCUGUUGAAACAGCACAAGAAGUUGCUGUUGAAAUGACACAAGAAGUGGCCAUUGAAAUGACACAAGAAGUUGCCACUGGAACGACACAAGAAGUGGCCAUUGAAACAACACAAGAAGUGGCUGUUGAAACAACACAAGUGGCCGUUGAAACGGCACAGGAAGUGGCUGUUGAAACAACGCAAGAAGUGUCUGUUGAAACAACGCAAGUAGUGGCUGUUGAAACAGCACAAGAAGUGGUUGUUGAAACAACACAGGAAGUGGCCUCUGAAACGACACAGGAAGUGGCUGUUGAAACAACGCAGGAAGUGGCUGUUAAAACAAAGCAAGAAGUGGCUGUUGAAACAACGCAAGAAGUGGCUGUUCAAACAACGCAAGAAGUGGGCAUGGAAUCUGUCCAGGGUGGGACCAACAUAGAUGCACCUGAACCAAAGACUCCUGCGAUGCACCUCAAGUUUGAGCAAGCAGCAGAUCCAAGGACUCCUGCGAUGCACCUCAAGUUUGAGCAAGCAGCAGAUUAUCCGACUAGCUCAUUCAAGACUCGCAGCACCGGGAUAAAGAAAUCCAUACUCCAGGAGUGCCUGAGUUUUCUCAACAGCGCUAACAAGGAGCAAUUGAAGAGCUUGAAGGGCAUCGGAGAGAAGAGGGCCAACUACAUCAUCGAGCUUCGUGAGCAUUCACCGGAGCUGUUUAAAGGGGUGGAUGAUCUGAGGGAUGUGAUUGGAAUGAACAAGACGGAGAUAAAAAGGAUGAUGUCGGGGAUCAUCGGCAGCCCCUAA
This 2958-nucleotide ribosomal RNA is filed under the name Triticum aestivum (bread wheat). RNAcentral's name for it is "partial small subunit ribosomal RNA". Lineage: Eukaryota; Viridiplantae; Streptophyta; Magnoliopsida; Poales; Poaceae. The record is from RNAcentral.